GCAUAAUAAUUCGCCCUUUAAUUGUGGGCAUGUAUGAAUGGACAAACGAAAGAAAUACUGUCUCCUUAAUUUUAAUAAAAAUUGACUUCUAGGUGAAGAUGCCUAGAUAUAAUUAGAAGACAAGAAGACCCCAUAGAGCUUAAUUAUUACUUUGCAUAAAUAAAUAAUAUAUUAUUAAUAUAAAUUCUCUAUACUGUUUAAAUAUAAUUUAGCUGGGGCGGCUAAGGAAAUUAAUCUUCCAUAUAAUUUCUUAGGUAAAUAAACCUUACUUUUUGACCCUUAUUUGAUAAAAAGAAAAGCUACCUUGGGGAUAACAGAUUAAUCCUUCUUGAGAGUUCACAUUAACAGAAGGGC
Molecule: ribosomal RNA, 354 nt
Filed under: Neoamphitrite affinis
Lineage: Eukaryota; Metazoa; Annelida; Polychaeta; Terebellida; Terebellidae
Description: partial large subunit ribosomal RNA
Rfam family: Bacterial large subunit ribosomal RNA
Source: RNAcentral